UACGUAGGUGGCGAGCGUUGUCCGGAUUUACUGAGCGUAAAGGGAGCGUAGGCGGACUUUUAAGUGAGAUGUGAAAUACUCGGGCUCAACUUGAGUGCUGCAUUUCAAACUGGAAGUCUAGAGUGCAGGAGAGGAGAAUGGAAUUCCUAGUGUAGCGGUGAAAUGCGUAGAGAUUAGGAAGAACACCAGUGGCGAAGGCGAUUCUCUGGACUGUAACUGACGCUGAGGCACGAAAGCGUGGGGAGCAAACAGG
Molecule: ribosomal RNA, 253 nt
Filed under: uncultured bacterium
Lineage: Bacteria
Description: partial 16S ribosomal RNA
Rfam family: Bacterial small subunit ribosomal RNA
Source: RNAcentral